CACUAAGGCCAUACCACCCUGAAUGGGCCCGAUCUUGUCUGAUCUCAGAAGCUAAGCAGGGUCGGGCCUCAUUAGUACUUGGAUGGGGGGCCACCUGGGAAUACCAGGUGCCGUAGGCU
Loxodonta africana (African savanna elephant) is the source of this 119-nucleotide ribosomal RNA. NCBI's taxonomy places the organism in Eukaryota, Metazoa, Chordata, Mammalia, Proboscidea, Elephantidae. The record is from Ensembl.